Pongo abelii (Sumatran orangutan) is the source of this 148-nucleotide unclassified non-coding RNA. It matches the Rfam family "Metazoan signal recognition particle RNA". Rfam says of the family: The signal recognition particle (SRP) is a universally conserved ribonucleoprotein. It is involved in the co-translational targeting of proteins to membranes. Lineage: Eukaryota; Metazoa; Chordata; Mammalia; Primates; Hominidae. The record is from Ensembl.
GCUGGGCAUGGCGGCGCAUGCCUGUAAUCCCAGCUACUCAGGAGGCUGAGACAGGAGAAUCGCUUGAACCCGGGAGUCGGAGCUUGCAGUGAGCCGAGACUGCACCAUUGCACUCCAGCCUGGGUGACAGAGUGAGACUCUGUCUCAA